RNAcentral lists this ribosomal RNA (207 nucleotides) under uncultured bacterium. Its description in RNAcentral is "partial 16S ribosomal RNA". It matches the Rfam family "Bacterial small subunit ribosomal RNA", at positions 568 to 774 of the family's 1533-position model. RNAcentral also lists the same sequence under 1 other name. The record is from RNAcentral.
CUCGUAGGUGGCCAACUAAGUCAGACGUGAAAUCCCUCGGCUUAACCGGGGAACUGCGUCUGAUACUGGAUGGCUUGAGUUUGGGAGAGGGAUGCGGAAUUCCAGGUGUAGCGGUGAAAUGCGUAGAUAUCUGGAGGAACACCGGUGGCGAAGGCGGCAUCCUGGACCAAUACUGACGCUGAGGAGCGAAAGCCAGGGGAGCAAACG